Long non-coding RNA from Bufo bufo (common toad), 178 nucleotides. RefSeq lists it as uncharacterized. The transcript is spliced from 3 exons. The record is from RefSeq and is a predicted model, not a curated record. Lineage: Eukaryota; Metazoa; Chordata; Amphibia; Anura; Bufonidae.
CAAGGACGUCAUGAUGGAGGAUCACCGGCCCCUCACAUCACCAGUAAAGGAAGAGAGAAGAACACCAGAGAGAUGUCCCAGUCCUCUUCUUCCACAUGAUGGUUCAGAAGAGCAUUACAAUGUCAAUGUCAAGCAGGAUGAUCAGCUUGUGAAUCCGGGUGAAGAUCUGAACAAUAUU